RNAcentral lists this long non-coding RNA (237 nucleotides) under Helianthus annuus (common sunflower). RNAcentral describes it as "hypothetical non coding rna". The record is from RNAcentral. Lineage: Eukaryota; Viridiplantae; Streptophyta; Magnoliopsida; Asterales; Asteraceae.
CAUAAAAACUCAAAGUGACGAACCCUAACCAUCCCAGGAGGGCUCAUCUGAGAAAGAUGGAAGUUGUUGUGACAACCCGACUUCUGGAGGUCGUUAGGUCGUUAGUUGUAAUGGUGUAGUAUACUCCCCAUAAAGUUCGUCGCCGGUAACCUAAAGUUACCUUGAAGAAAGAAGUCUUCAUACAAGGUGAUGUAACCCGGCGGUGCAUCGGCCGCAGUCUGGCCCUGAGCCGGAUAC